ACCAAGCAAAAAUGUCGGCGUUGGCUCUAAGCAAUUUUAUUAAUUACUGCCACUCUGAGUCGGAUAGCUGCGAUCCAAUUUGGACCAUUUUCUCGGAUUCUUCUUUUUUUAACGGAAUGAAAAUCAGUUGUUCAGCUGAUUCACCCCUCUCCUGAUUCUAUCUUUGAUCCAAUUUGUCAACAGGCAAAGAGUCUUCAGGUUUAUUAUUUUGGAUCGAGACAAGGAAGCAAAGUCGGAUGAGUUGUUGAUCUCCACACAUUUCUCCAACCCCAUAUCUUAUCAGGAAUCGAACUAACAAAUGAUAUGUCGAAACCACUGCUCUCAAAGUAUUAAGCUCAGAUCAUCCGAGUAUGGCAUUAUAAGCCGAAGAUACUUGAACUAUCGUAAACAUUAUAAGAACAGUGCUCUGUUGUGGUUCGAUUCCAGCGGUUAAGGGGAGAGAGAUUUCUCC
This 451-nucleotide long non-coding RNA is filed under the name Elaeis guineensis (African oil palm). Its description in RNAcentral is "long non-coding RNA (EGUI_LNC022210)". Lineage: Eukaryota; Viridiplantae; Streptophyta; Magnoliopsida; Arecales; Arecaceae. The record is from RNAcentral.